AAGCAUGUUAACUAAGGACUGCAGCUAGUAUUGUAGCAGCAGCUUCUCCAACAGCAUGCAAGAAAAACGGAGGGGCUUUGACAGGUUGGGUCCUCCAACUGGUGCCGCAAGCUGUCACUCAACCCUCCUACAAAC
Molecule: small nucleolar RNA, 135 nt
Organism: Bufo gargarizans (Asiatic toad)
Lineage: Eukaryota; Metazoa; Chordata; Amphibia; Anura; Bufonidae
Product: small nucleolar RNA SNORA44
Exons: 1
Source: RefSeq, a predicted model, not a curated record